Small nuclear RNA from Neomonachus schauinslandi (Hawaiian monk seal), 108 nucleotides. Lineage: Eukaryota; Metazoa; Chordata; Mammalia; Carnivora; Phocidae. The record is from RefSeq and is a predicted model, not a curated record.
GUGCUCGCUUCGGCAGCACAUACACUAAAAAUUGGAACAAUACGGAGAAGAUUAACAUGGCCCCUGAGCAAGGAUGACACACAAUUUUGUGAAGCAUUCCAUGUUUUU